AUAGAUUGAUGAAUUGAAUUGGGGAAGAAGAUUAUACCUUCAAAAGAACAACUUGGCUUGAAACAAAAGCUUGCAGUUUCUGGCUUCCCCCUUUCUACUGCUCCCUCCGCCGUUUUUGUGAAGAGGAAGAUAUGCCAGAAUGGGUGAAGAGAUGGAGACGUAAUUGCUGCGACGUGGGAGGGGAGCAAAUUUUGAAUGGAGGAUUCAACGUGA
Long non-coding RNA from Salvia splendens (bonfire salvia), 213 nucleotides. RefSeq lists it as uncharacterized. The record is from RefSeq and is a predicted model, not a curated record. The transcript has 3 exons. NCBI's taxonomy places the organism in Eukaryota, Viridiplantae, Streptophyta, Magnoliopsida, Lamiales, Lamiaceae.